This 216-nucleotide ribosomal RNA is filed under the name Glomeromycotina sp. RNAcentral describes it as "partial small subunit ribosomal RNA". The stretch from base 40 to 216 matches the Rfam family "Eukaryotic small subunit ribosomal RNA", at positions 686 to 864 of the family's 1831-position model. Lineage: Eukaryota; Fungi; Glomeromycota. The record is from RNAcentral.
GGGUCAGUAGGUUGGUCGUGCCACCGGUACGUACUGGUCUCACUGAUUCCUCCUUCCUGAAGAACCGUAAUGCCAUUAAUUUGGUGUUGCGGGGAAACAGGACUGUUACUUUGAAAAAAUUAGAGUGUUUAAAGCAAGCUAACGCUUGAAUACAUUAGCAUGGAAUAAUGAAAUAGGACGAUCGAUCAUAUUUUCUUGGUUUCUAGGAUUGACGUA